This is a long non-coding RNA of Neofelis nebulosa (Clouded leopard), 4191 nucleotides long. RefSeq lists it as uncharacterized. The transcript is spliced from 5 exons. The record is from RefSeq and is a predicted model, not a curated record. NCBI's taxonomy places the organism in Eukaryota, Metazoa, Chordata, Mammalia, Carnivora, Felidae.
AAACCUGAGAAGCACAGGGGGAAUGAGACAUACAUUCUCCUCCCGAACCAGCCCAAGCUUUCGAGGCCCCGUGCAGUGAGAGGCGUUAUUUGCACUUUGCUGCCCCCUGGUGGUGAUAUAAAAAUAUAGGCGGAACUCCAGGACCCCGGAAGUUUGUUGACCUCCAAGGUAAAACAUGCCAGUGGGCGUGCGCCUCCAUCAUUGGGGUAUUGGGGUUAAACUAUCAAUGUGCUGACCACGUCUAUCAAGUCCAGAAGUAUGAACGGAACGACUUUCAGGCUCAAAUGGCUAGAUUACGUGAAAGAACUAUUUCAGGUAAGUCAGUACAAUGGGGCAUGCUAUUUCCCCUAUUUUGGAGUGGGUCAUUUCUGCUCAAAUAUUGCUCUUCAUGAGUUCACGAUGACUGUAACGGGGUCAGAGCUCAUAGGGACCUAAGGUAUUUCUCAGUCUCAGAAUUGCAGGAAUGUUUCCUGGGGAGUCCAUGUGUGGACUUCAGGGAACCUCUGUAGAGGUUAAACCCUAAGCAGGGGAAACCCUAUUCCCAAAAUGUAUAGGGAAGUGUCCGAUCCAAACAGCUGGGGAAACUCUGGGCCAGUUGUCCAAGGUGAGUCCACCAUGAAAAGAGAGACUUGUGUUUGAUUAUCACUGUCGUUCUUCUGGCUGGAACAUUCUAUUCCGUUUAUACACACAUAUCCAUCUCUCACUUUACCUGGUAUCAGUAUGGUGGUAAUGAGGUCACCUCUGUCACUGUCUUGUGGCAAGUUUCCUAACCAUUCUGAACCUCUGUUUUCUCAUGUAGUGAAAGAAGAAAAGAAUAUCUAUUAAAUAAAAUUAAUCAACACUUAAGGGUGGGCACAUGUGAAACUAGACUACCAAGCACCCAUUAGAUGCUUAACAAACAAAUGCUUCUAAAAGUAAGCUCAUUAAACAUUAAUAUUUAUAUAGAAUUAUAAAGUAUUCAAGAUUCAUAAAUGAUAUGAAGACUUAUCUUAUGCAUUAUUCCUGGUAUUAUAUUCCCAGUAAGCUGUGAACGAUCCAUCAAAUGGUGAAAAUUUAUGAUUGGAGGACUUCGUCUGUUUUCUUCCAGGUGUAUUUCUAUCAGGGAGUACUUUGAAAGCCAUUACGAGGAAAAUUUUGCUGUGUUUGUGUUUGAAGAUAGCGUGCUGACCCCAUUUCUGUUCACACUUGGUUUUGAUUGAGAAUAAUAGUCUAUUAUAAAGGCUAAUGUUUGGUACGUCAUGUACGCGGCAAAACUGCCUUGGGUCUGCGUCUUGGGGCUUCUCUUUGUAGAAUCAGCUGCUUUCCUCUUUUCUUUUAAAUCUUUAUGGUUCUUGUUUUUACUACUCUAACUGUAAUAUGUGAUUAUUGUAAAUACUAUCGAGACAUUACAGAAACACAGGGCCUAUAAAGAAAACAUUUUCUGCAAUCCCAACCUUCUCUCAAAGGUUUGGCAUAUUGUGUUCAUUUUAUUUAAUGAAUAUACUGGUGUGUGUGUGUGUGUGUGUGUGUGUGUGUGUUGUGUGUUAACAAAAAUGGACCAUACUAACAUGUUGUUCUGCAAUUGAUUUGUAUAACCUUUAUACAUCUUAGAUAAGCUCUACAUCAAUCUGCCUGCUCUCUGUCUCUGUCUUUGUAUCUCUCUCUCUCUAACUCUUGUGUAGUAUUCCACAGCGAGGUAUCCCUGUUGUAACCCCAAGCUUCCCUUCCAGGUCGCCUGCUGCCUUUGAUCCACAUGGUAGAUCAAAGAUCUCAUCUAUGCAAGGUCUUUCCAAGACUGGAGAAAAAGAAGCAGUAGGUGAGAGUGUUCUCGCAAGAGACCCAGAGCAGUGAGCAGUCAUGGGUGGUUGAUGGAGGAGGCUGAGGACCUGGAAACGUUGUGGACAGUGCUCCUUGGCAGGUCGAAUUUCCUUUUUGAACCCAGCUUUCUUGGCUUUGACCCUUAGUUCUCUGGUUUGUUACUGUCCUAGUGAUUGACACAGUAUCUCCUUGUUCUGUUCCACAUGGAGCGACCUCCUUCCUUGAUCCCUACCCCAAAUCGGACCCGUCUCUAGACCCACUUGCAGGUGACAAAAAUGGAUUCCGGAUGAAUGAAGCAGAAGAGCUUAUGGAGGGAAAAUUAAAGAGCUCAAGAACCACCAAGGCUGCUGGCGAAUCAGGCCAUCUCCUAGCAGACUGGGAGACCAGAGGGAAAUGAUGUGGAGUCACUGCUGGCUGAGUGCAAGUUGGGGAGGGGCAGAGAGAGAGGGAGACACAGAAUCUGAAACAGGCUCCAGGCUCUGAGCUGUCAGCACAGAGCCCCACGUGGGGUUCGAACUCACAGACUGCGAGAUCAUGACCUGAGCCAAAGUCAGAUGCCCAACCGACUGAGCCACCCAAGGCGCCCCUCUGUUUAUUCAUUUUUGAGAGAGAGACAGAGUGUGGGCAGGGGAAAGGGCAGAGAGAGAGGGAGACACAGAAUCUGAAGCAGGCUCCAGGCUCUGAACUGUCAGCACCGAUCCCGAUGCGGGGCUUGAACUCACAGACCGGGAGAUCAUGACCUGAGCUGAAGUCAGACGCUUAACCGACUGAGCCACCCAGGUGCCCCUAUGGUCUCAUUUUAAAGCUGUUUUAUUUUUGUCAAAACUGUGCAUGCAUAUAGUUUAAGAAUCAAGUUACUAUUAUGUAUCUAUUUCCAUGUCUCUAAAUAAACCGCUUAUGUUGUCACCUACUGAUCUGUUUCAAUCACCCUCCUCCUCCAAAUCCUGAAUGUAGGGCCUUUCUCAGCCCCUCCCUGACUGUCACCACAGUCCGUAGGACACUAUUACAACCCCUCAUAAUUCUACUUAGAAACUAAUGUCACUAUUCAAUGGGUAUUUUACCAUGGCUGUAAAACUCUAUUGGCAGUUAAGCCAUGGAAUACUCGAUGAUGUUUUGUAAAUAGUAUCUUCUCUUGGAUUUCAUUUUCUGAUUGUUGUCGGUAAUGAGCAACACAAUUGAUUUUGUUAUAUUGGCCAUGAAUCCAGCAAUCUUGAUGUAUUAAUUGUUGAAUUCCACAGCUUAUGUGUAGUUCUCCGGCCUUUCUACAUUCACAAUCGUAUCUUUGAAUGAUGGCAGCUUUUCCCUUCCUUUCUAGUAGUUACUCCUUUUCCUUAAGUGGACAUUAUUGAGGUAUAAUUCUUAUCCUAUAAGGUGAAUGACUUUUAAGUGUGCAGUUCAAUGAACUUUGACAAAUGAGUGGACCCAGGAGAAUAUUACAACAAACAAGAUGUAGAAUCUUUCCCCAAGUCCCUUGCUGGUCAGUAGGAGAUCCAUAUAUUCCCAUAUAUUCUACUCCAGGAAAAUACUGAAGUUACAUUUUUUUCCCUAGAAUUUUCUACUUCUGUCCCCCUUUGUAUUUAUGAUGUUGUUUAUUUAACCUUCUCCUUUUUGUCUGACUAUUCUUUCCAGGGGUUUAUCAGUUGUAUCAGUCUUUUCAAGUAACAAACUUUUGACAUUGUUGAUUCUUUGUGUUGUAUGCUUGUUUCUAUUUGAUUGAUUUCCACUCUUAUCUUUGUUAUUCCCUUCUUUGGAUUUAAUUGACUUUUUUUUUUUUUUUUAAAGAACUUAUUGAGGUUGAUGCUGAGAUCACGGAUUUUUAACCCGUUACCUUUCUCCAAUAGACCACAAAUUACCUUCUAAGUGCAGCCUCUGUCUGUUCUAGAAAUUUUGACAUUUUGUAUUUCGAUUAUCAUUAACUUGAAGGUAUUUAAAAAUUUUAUUUUGGUUUCCCCUUUGAGUUAUGAGUUGUUCAAAAGAUCAUUUUUUAAUUUCCAAAUAUAAGAUUAAUUUCUAAUUAGCUUUUUGUUAUAAUUCUCAGCUAAAUUCUGCGAGGUCAGAAUAUAUUCUGUAUGAUUCCAAUCUGUGAAAAUUUUGUAGAUUUUGCUUUAUUUAAAAUAUUGGUAAAUACUCCACUUGGAAGCAUGUAUACAUUGCAGCUGUUAGAAGCCAUGUUCUGUGUGAGUAAAUUGGGUUGGAUGUGUUCAGCACGAAGUCAAAUCUUUGAUAUUUGUACUGCUUUGGUCUGUUUGUUCUCUCAAUUACUGAGAGACCUGAAUUCAUAUCCACCAUUUUGAUUGUAGAUUUGCAUAUUUUUCUGUAUAGCUCUGUUCAUUAUUGCUACUUUAGUUGUCUCGAGGCCAUAUUAUUAGUUCCAUGUUGCUUAUAAAUACUACA